AUACCGGCGGCUCGAGUGGUGGCCACUUUUAUUGGGCCUAAAGCGUCCGUAGCCGGAUAGGCAAGUCUUUGGGUAAAUCCUACGUCUUAAGCGUGGGAAUUCUAAAGAUACUACCUGUCUUGAGGCCGGGAGAGGCUAGAGGUACUCCUGGGGUAGGGGUAAAAUCCUAUAAUCCUGGGGGGACCACCGAUGGCGAAGGCAUCUAGCUGGAACGGGCCUGACGGUGAGGGACGAAACCCAGGGGAGCGAGCCGGAUUAGAUACCCGGGUAGUCCUGGGCGUAAAUGAUGUGGGCUUGGUGUGAGCGCAUCGACGAGGUGCGUUUGUGCCGUAGGGAAGCCGUUAAGCCCACCGCCUGGGGAGUACGGUCGCAAGGCUGAA
This 380-nucleotide ribosomal RNA is filed under the name uncultured bacterium. RNAcentral's name for it is "bacterial SSU rRNA". It matches the Rfam family "Archaeal small subunit ribosomal RNA", at positions 473 to 853 of the family's 1478-position model. The record is from RNAcentral.